GACGAACGCUGGCGGCGUGCCUAAUACAUGCAAGUAGAACGCUGAAGAGAGGAGCUUGCUCUUCUUGGAUGAGUUGCGAACGGGUGAGUAACGCGUAGGUAACCUGCCUUGUAGCGGGGGAUCACUAUUGGAAACGAUAGCUAAUACCGCAUAACAAUGGAUGACACAUGUCAUUUAUUUGAAAGGGGCAAUUGCUCCACUACAAGAUGGACCUGCGUUGUAUUAGCUAGUAGGUGAGGUAAUGGCUCACCUAGGCGACGAUACAUAGCCGACCUGAGAGGGUGAGCUGCCACGCUGGGACGGAGACACGGCCCAGACUCCUGAGGGAGGCAGCAGUAGGGAAUCUUCGGCAAAGGGGGCAACCCUGACCGAGCAACGCCGCGUGAGUGAAGAAGGUUUUCGGAUCGUAAAGCUCUGUUGUAAGUCAAGAACGGGUGUGAGAGUGGAAAGUUCACACUGUGACGGUAGCUGACCAGAAAGGGACGGCUAACUACGUG
RNAcentral lists this ribosomal RNA (497 nucleotides) under uncultured bacterium. RNAcentral's name for it is "partial 16S ribosomal RNA". It matches the Rfam family "Bacterial small subunit ribosomal RNA", at positions 28 to 507 of the family's 1533-position model. The record is from RNAcentral.